RNAcentral lists this transfer RNA (64 nucleotides) under Paragonimus westermani. Its description in RNAcentral is "tRNA-Trp". Lineage: Eukaryota; Metazoa; Platyhelminthes; Trematoda; Plagiorchiida; Troglotrematidae. The record is from RNAcentral.
AAUGGGUUAGGUUAUGUGACUGUCUGUUUUCAAAACAGAGGGGGGUUCUGUGGGCCACUCGUUG